GGGCCGUUAGCUCAAUUGGUAGAGCAACUGACUCUUAAUCAGUAGGUCGAAGGUUCGAUCCCUUCACGGCCCA
This is a transfer RNA of 73 nucleotides. It matches the Rfam family "tRNA". Rfam says of the family: Transfer RNA (tRNA) molecules are approximately 80 nucleotides in length. Their secondary structure includes four short double-helical elements and three loops (D, anti-codon, and T loops). The record is from Rfam.